Molecule: unclassified non-coding RNA, 23 nt
Filed under: Mus musculus (house mouse)
Lineage: Eukaryota; Metazoa; Chordata; Mammalia; Rodentia; Muridae
Description: oocyte_clustered_small_RNA4479
Source: RNAcentral
UAGGGUGUCAUGGCUGCUCUGCA